GACUACAUAAUGUAGUGGUUAGCACGUCUGCUUUACAUGCAGAAGGUCCUGGGUUCGCGCCCCAGGUGGAGCCA
This 74-nucleotide transfer RNA is filed under the name Pteropus alecto (black flying fox). It matches the Rfam family "tRNA". Rfam says of the family: Transfer RNA (tRNA) molecules are approximately 80 nucleotides in length. The record is from Rfam by way of RNAcentral. Lineage: Eukaryota; Metazoa; Chordata; Mammalia; Chiroptera; Pteropodidae. RNAcentral also lists the same sequence under 1 other name.